RNAcentral lists this transfer RNA (86 nucleotides) under Comamonas sp. Its description in RNAcentral is "tRNA-Tyr". It matches the Rfam family "tRNA". From Rfam's summary of the family: Transfer RNA (tRNA) molecules are approximately 80 nucleotides in length. Their secondary structure includes four short double-helical elements and three loops (D, anti-codon, and T loops). Further hydrogen bonds mediate the characteristic L-shaped molecular structure. tRNAs have two regions of fundamental functional importance: the anti-codon, which is responsible for specific mRNA codon recognition, and the 3' end, to which the tRNAs corresponding amino acid is attached (by aminoacyl-tRNA synthetases). tRNAs cope with the degeneracy of the genetic code in two manners: having more than one tRNA (with a specific anti-codon) for a particular amino acid; and 'wobble' base-pairing, i.e. permitting non-standard base-pairing at the 3rd anti-codon position. RNAcentral also lists the same sequence under 5 other names. Lineage: Bacteria; Pseudomonadati; Pseudomonadota; Betaproteobacteria; Burkholderiales; Comamonadaceae. The record is from RNAcentral.
GGAGGGGUGGCCGAGUGGUUAAAGGCAGCAGACUGUAAAUCUGCCCGCUUACGCGUACACAGGUUCGAAUCCUGUCCCCUCCACCA